UCCCCUCCGCUACCGCCUGAGCUGUUGGGCAAAGGAUUCAGCUAGAUGCUUUCUGGGAGUCGUAGUCGGGGAGCGCCUCCGUGUGUGCAAGUGCCGCACCAUCAGACUUUUGUACUUUUGCGCGGUGGAUGGGUUUGAGCGUGGUUCCAUGGUAACCAGGGGACAAGACUGGUGGUAUCCUAGGUAACGACCGGACUACCUGAUUUAGGAAAGGCAGUUCGAUUCUGUGGUGAGAGCAUGGGGAGGGAACAGGGACACAAAUACCAGAGAUAGCUAUGGAGGAAGGCAGAGAUACCCGCACACAGAGGAGGAGGAGAGCUGCCCGAAAAUUGUGAGGGCGAAGACUCGAUGCGAAGAGAGACAGCGAAUAUCAGUGAACGCACACAGAGGGAAACUCUUGAAGCAAGAAGGUAAACAACUCAAAAUACCUUCAAGAAGUCCCUUAAACUGACCAGAUUAAUUGGGUCCUUCUCCAUCAGAGUAAACAAUAAAAGCUAAGAGUUCCUCUCAGAAGAAGGAAGCUGGGCUUUAAAGAAAACUCUCAGACAAACUGAGUUUCAAAGAAGGCUCUGAGACUGGACCAGCUGGAAGAAGUCUGGACCAGCAAGACACAGGAAAGUACACUCUCCACCAUGUUGAACUACCUUCAGGCUGUGCAGUGUGUUCCAGGUUCCCAGCUUUGUGAGCAGUCAUCCAUGCUGGAAUGGGCUUUGGUGACACAGCUGUCUUUGAGUAAUUUCUGAUCCUGUAAAGUUACACCUCACCCAUAUUCUUGUAAGUAAACCCCAAUAAAACUCAUGGUUCACCAAGCUGAA
Meriones unguiculatus (Mongolian gerbil) is the source of this 815-nucleotide long non-coding RNA. RefSeq lists it as uncharacterized. The record is from RefSeq and is a predicted model, not a curated record. Lineage: Eukaryota; Metazoa; Chordata; Mammalia; Rodentia; Muridae. The transcript is spliced from 2 exons.